AGUCGACGCGGUUUCCUCGCAGGGGAAACUGAGUGGCGAACGGGUGAGUAACGCGUGGGUGACCUACCUUCGAGUGGGGGAUAACGUCCCGAAAGGGACGCUAAUACCGCAUGACAUCCUGUCCUUGAAUGGAUGGAGAUCAAAGCUGGGGAUCGCAAGACCCGGCGCUUGAUGAGGGGCCCGCGUCCGAUUAGCUAGUUGGUGAGGUAACGGCUCACCAAGGCGACGAUCGGUAUCCGGCCUGAGAGGGCGGACGGACACACUGGGACUGAGACACGGCCCAGACUCCUACGGGAGGCAGCAGUGGGGAAUUGUUCACAAUGGGCGCAAGCCUGAUGACGCAAUGCCGCGUGGAGGAUGAAGGUCUUCGGAUUGUAAACUCCUGUUGCCAGGGACGAAUGGCUCCGACCUAAUACGUCGGAGAAUGACGGUACCUGGUGAGGAAGCCCCGGCUAACUCUGUGCCAGCAGCCGCGGUAAUACAGAGGGGGCGAGCGUUGUUCGGAAUUACUGGGCGUAAAGGGCGCGUAGGCGGCCUUCUAAGUCGAACGUGAAAUCCCCGGGCUCAACCCGGGAACUGCGUCCGAUACUGGGAGGCUUGAAUCCGGGAGAGGGGUGUGGAAUUCCAGGUGUAGCGGUGAAAUGCGUAGAUAUCUGGAGGAACACCGGUGGCGAAGGCGGCAUCCUGGACCGGUAUUGACGCUGAGGCGCGAAAGCUAGGGGAGCAAACGGGAUUAGAUACCCCGGUAGUCCUAGCCCUAAACGAUGAAUGCUUGGUGUGGCGGGUAUCGAUCCCUGCCGUGCCGAAGCUAACGCAUU
RNAcentral lists this ribosomal RNA (818 nucleotides) under uncultured bacterium. RNAcentral describes it as "bacterial SSU rRNA". It matches the Rfam family "Bacterial small subunit ribosomal RNA", at positions 60 to 861 of the family's 1533-position model. The record is from RNAcentral.